This 367-nucleotide small RNA is filed under the name Pan troglodytes (chimpanzee). RNAcentral's name for it is "processed transcript". The record is from RNAcentral. Lineage: Eukaryota; Metazoa; Chordata; Mammalia; Primates; Hominidae.
GCUUGGUGCCAGCUACUGGUACCGUGCCCGCCUGCACCAGCGACUCUGCCAGCUCAAGGGACCCACCUGCCAGUACAGGGCAGCCCAAUCUGGUCCCCCUGAACGGCCAGGACCUCCGCAGAGGGCCCUGCUGGCACAAGGCACUAAGCAGUGACCCCAGGAGGGCACAAGGGCAGUGGUGCUCAGAAUGGCCUUCCGUAGGCCCAGGUCACCAUGUUAGAAGGGCUGGUGAGCAUCCCCACCCUGAGCCCUCUGCUUGGAUGAUGGGAGUGUGUGCACACCUCCUCCCCACUCGCUCCCCACCUGCAUGCACCUGCAUAACUGCAUGCACAGCACCCACUGCCCUGGGCCCCCGCCGGCCCUCCCU